AACGAACGCUGGCGGCAUGCCUAACACAUGCAAGUCGAACGAUUGCCUUCGGGUGAUAGUGGCGCACGGGUGCGUAACGCGUGGGAAUCUGCCCUUAGGUUCGGAAUAACAGCUGGAAACGGCUGCUAAUACCGGAUGAUAUCGCGAGAUCAAAGAUUUAUCGCCUGAGGAUGAGCCCGCGUUGGAUUAGGUAGUUGGUGGGGUAAAGGCCUACCAAGCCGACGAUCCAUAGCUGGUCUGAGAGGAUGAUCAGCCACACUGGGACUGAGACACGGCCCAGACUCCUACGGGAGGCAGCAGUGGGGAAUAUUGGACAAUGGGCGCAAGCCUGAUCCAGCUAUGCCGCGUGAGUGAUGAAGGCCCUAGGGUUGUAAAGCUCUUUUACCCGGGAAGAUAAUGACUGUACCGGGAGAAUAAGCCCCGGCUAACUCCGUG
RNAcentral lists this ribosomal RNA (435 nucleotides) under uncultured bacterium. RNAcentral's name for it is "partial 16S ribosomal RNA". It matches the Rfam family "Bacterial small subunit ribosomal RNA", at positions 29 to 507 of the family's 1533-position model. The record is from RNAcentral.